RNAcentral lists this ribosomal RNA (508 nucleotides) under uncultured bacterium. Its description in RNAcentral is "partial 16S ribosomal RNA". It matches the Rfam family "Bacterial small subunit ribosomal RNA", at positions 28 to 507 of the family's 1533-position model. The record is from RNAcentral.
GACGAACGCUGGCGGCGUGCCUAAUACAUGCAAGUCGAACGCUUCUUCCCUCCCGAGUGCUUGCACUCAAUUGGAAAGAGGAGUGGCGGACGGGUGAGUAACACGUGGGUAACCUACCCAUCAGAGGGGGAUAACACUUGGAAACAGGUGCUGAUACCGCAUAACAGUUUAUGCCGCAUGGCAUAAGAGUGAAAGGCGCUUUCGGGUGUCGCUGAUGGAUGGACCCGCGGUGCAUUAGCUAGUUGGUGAGGUAACGGCUCACCAAGGCCACGAUGCAUAGCCGACCUGAGAGGGUGAUCGGCCACACUGGGACUGAGACACGGCCCAGACUCCUACGGGAGGCAGCAGUAGGGAAUCUUCGGCAAUGGACGAAAGUCUGACCGAGCAACGCCGCGUGAGUGAAGAAGGUUUUCGGAUCGUAAAACUCUGUUGUUAGAGAAGAACAAGGACGUUAGUAACUGAACGUCCCCUGACGGUAUCUAACCAGAAAGCCACGGCUAACUACGUG